Molecule: long non-coding RNA, 1379 nt
Organism: Macrobrachium nipponense
Lineage: Eukaryota; Metazoa; Arthropoda; Malacostraca; Decapoda; Palaemonidae
Exons: 2
Source: RefSeq, a predicted model, not a curated record
UUUAUCAUCGCGAAGGAGAAUUUUUAUUCUUUUUCGUAGACGUAUUGCAUAAGUUUAUGAAGUUUAUUUUGACUGUUAAAUUAUUAAUGUUUAUUUUUAUUAUGGUAUGUAAUUGCAUAAUAUGAGAGAGUGUGGAACACUGGUAUUUUAAAAAAUAUGGUUAUGUUUUACACUCGGAAUUUCGUCGUGUUAAGUCCUUAUCUCGGGGGAACACAAAGGCAAUGAACUUAUGUGAGCCUUUGUUGUGCUACGCCCAGAUAAUUAUUAGGCAUCUUAGUUUACUAAGUUGCAAUUUUUGUAGUCUCUUUACUUUACAAGGGACACAAAGUUAUCGAUGUGAGAACGAUUUUAGUUAAUCUAAGUGUGAUAUUCAUCAAGUACUGAUAUCUACAAAUGGGGUUUUAAAGACCAUUCAUUUCAUUCAUUACUUUUGUUUUCAGAUUUGUUAAGAAACAUCCGCACUCAAGUCCUUAUAAAACUGAUUAAGCCGUACACAAGAAUUCAUAUUCCAUUCAUUUCAAAUGAGCUGAACAUUGAUGCAACAGAUGUGGAGGCACUCUUGGUACAGUGUAUUUUAGAUAAUACUAUUGAUGGACGGAUAGAUCAGGUGAAUCAGGUUCUGGAGCUAACAAGGGGUGCUGAAGGAGCAGCACGUUACACUGCUCUUGACAGAUGGACGAACCAGCUUCAAUAUCUACAGUCUGUUAUUGUGACAAAGAUGAAUUAAUUGCCCUGACCCAGUGAAAUAUGAACAGUCUCCACUAACUUGAAAGUGUAUGGGAAUUUGCAAGAUUACUUUGUUUCUCCUUUUUCAGAUCUUGAGAGAACACUUUUUGGUGUAUGUUGCUUUGUGUAAAUUAAAUUUCUUCUCUACCCUUUUAUCAGCUACAGUUCUUGAAGUUGUUAUAAACAUAGGAUAAUCGUUUUGAAAAAAGUUUGAAUUUUGUUAGCUUGAUAAAUUUUUUGCCGAAAGCCUUCUUUGCUUGGGAAAUAUAGGUCCUGGUUAAAUGAGCAGUGAUUUGAUUGCAGAGCCUGCAGAUGACCAACUGACUACCCAGCUGGCCAGGAAUUAAGUCAAAAAUACUUUUAUUCAUAAAGAUUAAAUGUAAAUUUUGAAACCAAUACUUUUCAGCUACUAAUUGGAAGGUGGGGUAAAUUGAAAUCUGCAAAAUAAAUUGGUGAAAUAUUUUUUGGUAUUUUAUGUAAGGGCUGCUGCUCAGAGGAAUCGGUAAUAAAUUCCAAAGGAAUCGGUAAUAAAUUCCACAUAUGAACACAUUUUUUACAUUACAAAGUUUGUUCAUAAAAAAUGCUGAUUAAAUUUUGGCUUCAGUUGUGAAGCCACAAUUUGUUGCUAAAACCAAUAAAGAUAGUAACAUUUA